Molecule: unclassified non-coding RNA, 254 nt
Filed under: Caenorhabditis elegans
Lineage: Eukaryota; Metazoa; Nematoda; Chromadorea; Rhabditida; Rhabditidae
Description: Non-coding transcript of protein-coding gene mks-5
Source: RNAcentral
AAUACACCCUGACGCGUGGUCAACUUUCUCUUCUCGAUCAAUGGAUCCGUGCUAGCAUCAAAUUUGAGUUAACCAUCAUCAAGAUCAGUCCAGGCGACGAAGAGGAGCUCGGCUUCGGAAGUUUGAUUUUAGUGCCAAACAACACACAGAACAAAUCGUUUGUAAUUGAUGUUUACGAUCGGAGUGGAAUUGUGCAAGCCGAGAUGACAUUGACAUUGCAUUUCUCAAGAGCAUUAAUUGAACAAUUGACCUGA